This 78-nucleotide transfer RNA is filed under the name bacterium. RNAcentral's name for it is "tRNA-Arg". It matches the Rfam family "tRNA". From Rfam's summary of the family: Transfer RNA (tRNA) molecules are approximately 80 nucleotides in length. Their secondary structure includes four short double-helical elements and three loops (D, anti-codon, and T loops). Further hydrogen bonds mediate the characteristic L-shaped molecular structure. tRNAs have two regions of fundamental functional importance: the anti-codon, which is responsible for specific mRNA codon recognition, and the 3' end, to which the tRNAs corresponding amino acid is attached (by aminoacyl-tRNA synthetases). tRNAs cope with the degeneracy of the genetic code in two manners: having more than one tRNA (with a specific anti-codon) for a particular amino acid; and 'wobble' base-pairing, i.e. permitting non-standard base-pairing at the 3rd anti-codon position. The record is from RNAcentral. RNAcentral also lists the same sequence under 2 other names.
ACGCUGGUAGCUCAGCGGAACAAGAGCAGCUGGCUUCGAACCAGCAGGUCAGGGGUUCAAAUCCCCUCCAGCGUUCCA